Molecule: ribosomal RNA, 650 nt
Filed under: uncultured bacterium
Lineage: Bacteria
Description: bacterial SSU rRNA
Rfam family: Bacterial small subunit ribosomal RNA
Source: RNAcentral
CAUGCAAGUCGUGCGAGAAAGUAUCUUCGGAUAUGAGUAGAGCGGCGGACGGGUGAGUAACGCGUAGGAAUCUACCUAGUAGAAGGGGAUAGCCCGAGGAAACUCGGAUUAAUACCGUAUACCUCCUUCGGGAGAAAGAAGGCCUCUCUUUGAAGCUUUCGCUACUAGAUGAGCCUGCGUAAGAUUAGCUUGUUGGUGAGGUAAAGGCUCACCAAGGCUACGAUCUUUAGCGGGUCUGAGAGGACGAUCCGCCACAUUGGGACUGAGACACGGCCCAGACUCCUACGGGAGGCAGCAGUGGGGAAUAUUGGACAAUGGGCGAAAGCCUGAUCCAGCCAUACCGCGUGUGUGAAGAAGGCCCUAGGGUUGUAAAGCACUUUAAGUUGGGAAGAAAAGUUAUUGGUUAAUACCCAAUGACCGUGACAUUACCAUCAGAAUAAGGACCGGCUAAUUCCGUGCCAGCAGCCGCGGUAAUACGGAAGGUCCAAGCGUUAAUCGGAAUUACUGGGCGUAAAGCGCGCGUAGGUGGUUUAUUAAGUUGGGUGUGAAAUCCCCGGGCUCAACCUGGGAACUGCAUCCAAAACUGAUUCACUAGAGUACGAUAGAGGGAGGUAGAAUUCACAGUGUAGCGGUGGAAUGCGUAGAUAUUG